AUUGGGUUCUCCUUCCUGUUCCCUGCCUGUGGGGAGACACCCUUGCAGUCCCCAUCCUGGCACACCCAGCAUGGGCUCCAUGCAGAAGAGGGAAAGGUCUGCCCUGGAGGUCACCCAGGUCACCCCACUGGGGUUGAAAAGCAGCCCUGGGGAUGGAGCACCCAAAAACUGGAAGAUGCAGAAGGAAUAAGGACAUGCCUGUUCAGGCCAGGGCAGCCCGGUUUUGGUGAGGAGUGUGGUUUGCUGGACCCCUGACCUGUUCCCCUGCUGGGACAGCCCCAGAAAUGCUGGUCUGUAGAUCCUGGAUAGGUGGCUGUUUGGGAUCUUGGACCCCACCAAGCUCCCAGCACCCCGAGGCCCACACAUGCCACUUGGUCUCAGGGGACGGUAGAGCCGGAGCAGCAGCAGGGAAUAGAGGGGUGGGAGCACCAGGACACUGGCAGCAGUGUGGCUCAGUGUCCCAGGGGACCUGGCAGCACCCCAGUGUUUCAUCAACCAAGUGCUGAUUCCAUGCACUCCUGGAAAAGCCAGGAGAGACCUGUGCCAUGCACAGGAUAGCUCCAGGGUUGGUGGUGACCUGUGACCUGCUCACCAUGCUGCUCGUGGUUGGCAGGUGUGGAUGUGUGGAUGUGUGGCAGAAUCCCCGAUGCCCAUCCUGCCCACAGGGCUCUGCGUGGUGGGAUCAGCAGCACCUUCGACCCCGAGGAGCUGCAGAAAGUCCCUAGACAGCUCUGGUGUGUCCCUGUUCUUGAAAAAAGCAUCUGCCUACCCAUUCCCCACCUCUGGGAUCCUCGGCGUGGAGGCCAGGCAAGGAAAAAGGGAGUUUCUACCCAAGGGCUGGCAAGAAGGACACAAGGGAGGUGUCACCUGCCAGACCAUCUCCCCUUGGGGACUGGCUGGCAUGGGAGGCCAGGGCCAUGCUGGCAACAACAGGUGCCAGUGGGGGCAAGGGGUCAUCACCAGCUGCAGGCUGGGGGUGGCAGAGCCUCCAUCCAAAACGCCAGGGGGCUCUCAGUGCCUGGGAACUCCAAGUGUGGGUUUCCUGGCCCACAGGAGGACACGGAGGGGGUCUCACCCAGGGCUUGGGGUGAUGCUGUGUGUGCUCCCCAGGGUGCUUUGCAGGGACGCUGCCCGGCUGUCCCGGCUGCUGGUGGGCACGGGAGGUGCAGCCCGCGGGGACAGGCAGGCUCUGGCAGUGGGAGGGCUCCUGCAUUACAAUCCGGUACAAUCUGUCCCCCUUCCCGCUGCCCAGCCGUGGAGGAGACGGUUACUGUUUAAUCCCAUUUGACAGCUCUUUCAUCAUCUGCCUGCCUUCCUCCAGCUUCCCGUGGCUCCUCCAAGGCUCCUUUGUGGCCGUAAUCAAAGCCUGCAAUCCCCUGGGAAGCAGAGCACACACAUUUAGCCAGCACAGUCACGUUGUUCCCUGUGCAGUGUCCUGCAGCCCCAAGGAUGUUCCUCCUCCCAGGACAUGUCAUCCCUCGCUUGGAGAGAAAAUUAGGAAUUGGUUGAGUUAAUUUGCUGCAGAUUGUUCUUUGAGGAGCCAAUAACCAAAAAAGCUGCUGGAAAGCCCAACUUUCCUCCCUCCUGGAGACUUUCUGAAGGACUUUUUGGAGCUCCUUCCUCCUGGAGGCUUUCUGGAGGGUGGCUGUUGUCUUGUGUUGUGCCCCAAGGAAGGCAUGGGCUUCCUUUGAGGGGGAGCUUCAGUUGGCUCCCCCUGCUUCUCCUCCUGCCUCCUGCUCUCCCCCAAAUCUGUAGGAAGAAACAAGUAUAUUGUCUCCAAGCUAAAAACUAGAAAUGAUUUAUAUGUUUAUAAGCCCGGCUCUGGUUCCAUUUAUUUUGGCAAAGGAAUUGUUUGCAUCUUUGCAGAAUUCCUUCACCCAAACCACUCAUUAGAUAUGAAUUUAGAAACAGCCAGAGGGAGCGGGUGACUCAGGGGAAUUAGCAAGUGGCUUCUCAAAGACUUUUACGUCAAGGACAGCAGCUCGAUUCCAGAUCUCUAUGCCAGUGCCCAGAAGACAUUGUCAUCUAAUGCUGGGUCAGUGACCACAACUUGACCAGUGCAUUUGAGGACCUUGGUCCUUGACUCUGAGCUGGCAGGUGUCUUCACCAUGGGAAACCUCAGUCAAGGGAGAAGCCAGAAAAGACAGGAGGAGAAGGAUUCAGUCAAUGAUCUUUCACUGGACACAAAGGCAUCAGCUACAGGAGCUGACAGAGAAGUGAUAUUCCACCAGAGCUCUUUCACCCUGGCAUGGAGAUCCGGGAGCUUCUGGAAAGGACAUUUGAGGAGAGUCAGCCUUGAAGCCUGAAGAUGGGGAGAGUCUGUGAGAACUGGUCCCUCUGCUGUGGGUUUGAAGACCACUUUGUUUUUCACCUGGAAGCUAUUAAGAAAGUCAUGCAUGGACAAUAUUCCAGUUAUCACUUUCCUCUGUCAGACAAGAACCCACAAAGCAGCCGUCAGGUGUGACAAUGUCCCAUCACCUUGUCCUGACAUUACUGCUUGACUUGGGCUGGCACUGGGAAUGGGAGCAACCUCUGAGGCUGGUUUGGCUGAGGAGAUGUGUGCAUGGGGGAUGUUGCUCUUCUGAUGGCAGUGCAAGGGCUCUGGACACUUUCAGUGCUCUCAGAAAUGUGUGCUCAGGGCGAGGGGACAGGCAUGUCUUUUGUGGGAGAAGGUCUGUGAGGUGUGAGAGUGGCUGAGGUCCCCCUGGCAGGAGGACAGCCCUUCACCUGGACCAGGCAGCCCAGACUACCAGAGGUGUCCCAUCCUCUGAACCUCCACGAGUACCUGGCGCUGGUGUCCCCAACCUCCACAUCACCAGUUUGUCCUGGAGGCACAGCCAGAGGUCUGGCAGGUCCCUCCCCACGUGUGUCAGGCAGCUCGUGGUGCCACCAGGCUCCUGGUCUCCAUCCCCACUCUACCCCAACCUGCCCUGCGCCCUCGCCUCGGCAUGCUGGCUCGCUCCCGAGCCAACCUUGGCUCCUUGUCUCACAACUAGAGAUGAAAAUAAACUCCAGUGAAGGGUCCUUUAACUUUC
Molecule: long non-coding RNA, 3035 nt
Organism: Pseudopipra pipra
Lineage: Eukaryota; Metazoa; Chordata; Aves; Passeriformes; Pipridae
Exons: 2
Source: RefSeq, a predicted model, not a curated record